This 76-nucleotide transfer RNA is filed under the name gut metagenome. Its description in RNAcentral is "tRNA-Arg". It matches the Rfam family "tRNA". Rfam says of the family: Transfer RNA (tRNA) molecules are approximately 80 nucleotides in length. Their secondary structure includes four short double-helical elements and three loops (D, anti-codon, and T loops). The record is from RNAcentral.
GCGGCUAUAGUUCAACAGGAUAGAACUGACCCCUCCUAAGGGUCGGAUCUGGGUUCGAGUCCCGGUGGCCGCACCA